GUUAUGGUAUUUCAAUGUCUGUCUUUUCAGUUGGUACCAGUCUUGGCAUUUAUUGAAUUUUUUUAUAACGGAAGUUUUUAUGCCAAUAGAAAACAUUAUCCGCAUCUAAUUGUUAUGCAAAUGGGUUCAUUGAUGUAUCUUGUGGCCUCAGCAGGAUAUUCAGACAUUCGGAAUUUGUCUGCAAUAAUUGAAAUUCAUACUUGGUCAUGGAAAUUGGCCGGUGAUAAAAUCUAUAGAAAACUUCUAUCGGAAGGAAAACAUUUGAAAGUUGUGUGUUGCGCAAUUUUUUGCUCUACUACAUCAUCGGCAGUACUAUUGGCCCCAGCUCUCGGAGAUGAAAAACACUGGCAGUUUCUACCGUUUUUGUGGAAUAAAUAUUUAGGAGACCAAAUGCAUAUGAUACUUUCGAUUUUUUACACAAUGGAAGCGGCCUUUUUAGGACUAUUCCUUUCAUCACUUGUCUGUUACAGCUUGUAUUUCGUUGGACAUUUGGAGCUUCAGUUUCAACUUUUGAAUGCAUUUGUCUGUAGGUUACACACUAGAUCGAUAUAUCAUAUGAAUGAUAUCAGAUACCAGGAACGGGUGGCUGAUCUACUUAUGUGCUGCGUCAAAAUGCAUACAGAGAUCAAAAAAUUCCAAACGAAGCUGAUGAGCAGAGCUAGUACUUUAGUUUUAUCAUUCACGGCCUACGGCUUGACUAUA
Long non-coding RNA from Leptinotarsa decemlineata (Colorado potato beetle), 702 nucleotides. Lineage: Eukaryota; Metazoa; Arthropoda; Insecta; Coleoptera; Chrysomelidae. The record is from RefSeq and is a predicted model, not a curated record.